Molecule: non-coding RNA, 715 nt
Organism: Pantherophis guttatus
Lineage: Eukaryota; Metazoa; Chordata; Lepidosauria; Squamata; Colubridae
Source: RefSeq, a predicted model, not a curated record
CCGAACAAAGCGGGAGAAAGAAAGAGAGAAGCCGUUUCACGGCGGACUUACACGGCUGAUUUCUAUCGCCGCGCUUCUUCCUCGCUAUCGCUUUUCAGUGUGCACAGAGAGAGGGGUUAAAAAAUACACGGGGACAUGCGAUAUACUUGCUCUCGCUCGCUUCCCCAAAAGGGAAUGGAAAAGCCUUAAACAUCCUUUCAGAAUUUAUUUCACGAAGAACGUCAUCGUCCACCACUUCUACAAUCUGAUCUCUGGCUUGCCUCAAUAGUAGCAACGAAUUGCAAACAGCAAAUUCGACCUGCAGCUCUUUAUCUUAAUUUCUAUUUCCUGCAGGUUCCUCAAAAGUUAUUCAAACGAACAGAAAUCCUUAAAACAUGAUACAUAACUUAAAACCGGAAUGCCUUUACUUUUCCAUCCUGUAAUAUAUCUAGUAUAUUUUAGAUUAACAGUCUAUAUUUUACUCAUACACAAGAAAAUCUGCAGUUUUCAUGGAAACCUAAGAUUGUGCAGAACAUAGUUUGAAAAAAAAUCUGGCCUAGACUAGGAAGUGGAAAAUAUACACUGUAAGAAGCAAAGAUGUCCUUGAAUGAUAAGGAUCAUUUGCUUGUUAUUGAUAAUGCAAUCAGAAUUUUGGAUGAAGUAUCAUCUGAAAUGAAUAAACUUAUUGGUAAUUUCUAAUGCCACAGUCAGAAUAAAGAUAUGAAAUGAAGAAUGA